CAAUGGCUUUGGAAGAGAGAUGGGAGACCAGCUUGGGUUUUUACACACUUUGUGGCAUUCCAAGAGUUUUGGGAGCUGUUGAUGGAACAUUAAUGCCCAUCAUAACACCCCAUGACAAUGAGGAAGUGUAUGUUUGCAGAAGAGGUUUCCAUGCCCUAAACAUACAAGCUGUUGUCAAUUCAAAUAUGAGGUUCAAUGAUGUUGUGUCCAGAUGAAGAUUUGCAAAUGAUGCAGGCAUUUUUGAUAACUGUGGUUUGAAGAGACACCUAGAGCUUAACAAUGUAGGGAUGUUGUUGGGAGAUAGCGGCUACCCAUUACGUCACUACCUCAUGACCCCAGUUCUGCAGCUCCAAGGGAGACAGCAGACAGCUUACAAUGUUGCUCAUGCAAGGGGGAGGGUCGUUGUGGAACAAGCCUUUGGACUUUUGAAGUCAAGGUUUAGGUAAAUGAUGGAAUAAGCUAGAACAUCAAUAUAUGUAUAUUCCUGUAAACAACCGUGACUCCGCUGAAUAUAUUGUUUCAUCCAAUGUGAAGAUUUUUGACAAACUUGAAACUAUUAAUUGAAAAUGAAGUAAUAAUUGACUUGCCUAAAUUAUUUGACCACCAUUGGCCUCUGCAUCACUUAUGCUUAUGUCUGAAACAGUAAAUAAAUUACUUAGAACUUAGAAAAAUCACCAUGACAUUAUUCUUUAAAUGUGUAUAAGAAAGAUGUUUUGAUACAUUCUAUGUUAAGAUAUGUUUAUUUGAUUAUAAAUAACUUGACCAUACAGAUUGUAGACAUAUUUUGUUUCUGUUCCAAAUUUUGGCGAAUGCAAGUAAAUGUAAGGCCCACAUCU
Mya arenaria is the source of this 836-nucleotide long non-coding RNA. RefSeq lists it as uncharacterized. The transcript is spliced from 3 exons. The record is from RefSeq and is a predicted model, not a curated record. Lineage: Eukaryota; Metazoa; Mollusca; Bivalvia; Myida; Myidae.